This 77-nucleotide transfer RNA is filed under the name Clostridia bacterium. RNAcentral's name for it is "tRNA-Met". It matches the Rfam family "tRNA". From Rfam's summary of the family: Transfer RNA (tRNA) molecules are approximately 80 nucleotides in length. Their secondary structure includes four short double-helical elements and three loops (D, anti-codon, and T loops). Further hydrogen bonds mediate the characteristic L-shaped molecular structure. tRNAs have two regions of fundamental functional importance: the anti-codon, which is responsible for specific mRNA codon recognition, and the 3' end, to which the tRNAs corresponding amino acid is attached (by aminoacyl-tRNA synthetases). tRNAs cope with the degeneracy of the genetic code in two manners: having more than one tRNA (with a specific anti-codon) for a particular amino acid; and 'wobble' base-pairing, i.e. permitting non-standard base-pairing at the 3rd anti-codon position. The record is from RNAcentral. Lineage: Bacteria; Bacillati; Bacillota; Clostridia.
CGCGGGGUGGAGCAGCCAGGUAGCUCGUCGGGCUCAUAACCCGAAGGUCGCAAGUCCGAAUCUUGCCCCCGCAACCA